This 664-nucleotide small RNA is filed under the name Pongo abelii (Sumatran orangutan). RNAcentral's name for it is "retained intron". Lineage: Eukaryota; Metazoa; Chordata; Mammalia; Primates; Hominidae. The record is from RNAcentral.
ACCCACUUGAGGCUGUGUCUGAACUGGGGUCAAAUCUGUCUCUAGGCUUGCUGUGGGGGAGGCCACUGACUCAGGUCCUGACCCCUCAUCUCUCCUGGAGGGUUCGGGCCAGGCUCAGGGGCCUGGUGACCUGGAGGCCAUGUCUGGAGCCACCCCCUUGGAUAGAAAGGAUUCCGAGAAUACAGGGGGGUUAAUCUCAAGGCCUCACCCCGGGACCAAUCCCCGUCCUGUGUUCAGGAGGGCAGGUGUGACAGUCGCCACAAACUGGACGGCUUGAAACAACAGACGCUUAUUCUCUGGCAGCUCGGGAGGCCAGGAGCCUGAAAUCAAGGUGUGGGUGGGCCUGGUUCCCCUGGAGGCUCUGAGGGAACCUCUGUCCCCGGCCUGUUGCCAGCUCCAGCAGUGGCUGGAAACCCUGGCCUCCCUUGGCCUGUGGACACCUCACCCCAAUCUCUGCCUCCACUGUCACCAGGCUUCUUCCCUCUUCUCUUCUAAGGACACCAGUCCUUGGGUUUAGGGCCCACCCAAUCCAGUAUGGCCUCAUCUUAACUAAUUACCUCUGCAAAGACCUUAUUCCCAAAUAAGCUCACAUUCUGAGGUUCUGGGUGGAUGUGCAUUUUGGGGGAUGCUGUUCAACCCAGUGCAGGUGAGCAGAUGGGGGCCG